Molecule: long non-coding RNA, 1117 nt
Filed under: Solanum tuberosum (potato)
Lineage: Eukaryota; Viridiplantae; Streptophyta; Magnoliopsida; Solanales; Solanaceae
Description: long non-coding RNA (STUB_LNC005457)
Source: RNAcentral
CAGACCCAAACAUCUAUAUUAAAUUAGUUAUUAUGAAACAAGAAAUUAACACAUAUCCAAAACACAUAAGCAAGUUAAAACAAAUAAAUGCUAAAUGAUAAUAAGUAAAAGCAACCUCCCAAAUGAAUUUUGCUUGCUAUUUGGAUAGUCUAGGAUAUCGACUUCAUGUGCGGGUAUGAUGGUGUUGAGUCUAUGAGACUCGAUAAUUUGCUAGAGUCUUGAAUCAAAGACUCCAUUUUGCUCCAAAGUGUACAUGCAAAUAAAGAGAGGGUAAAAAAGAUUAAUAAGGCAAACCACUUUAAAACUAUAUCAAAUAAGCCAAACGUGAAGCUAAGUAAAAGACGUACAACCAAGACACUAUUCGGAAUGGAAAAUAUGCAAGCAUAGGAUAAGCCGACUUAUUAACAGAACUCAAAGUAACUAACCUACAGGAUAAAACUAAUUUUUCAGGUUUAAUCGAUUUAAACCACAAAGAAGCUUACCUUUUCAAACCAUGAAUUUUUAACAUUUCUUUAUAAGUAGCCUAUACUAAACAUUCAGAAGAAAGGGCAAAGAAAAACUGAUAUACUAACAGAGAGUAAAACAAAAGGAAGCUUAAGCUUAAGUUUAUAGGUAUAUAUUUGUAUGUAUAAAACUAAAGCGUAAUAAUGACAAUGCACAUGAUUUGUGCCAUAUUCCUUCAAAUAUUAUAUAUGAUAACUGCUAACUUACAAUUUUUUUUUUAAAAACAACACAGGAACUUAUACACAUAAUUUAAUUAGCAAAAAAGAGGGUGUAGAACUUAAACAAAAUGCCUACAACCAAGGCUCUCUUUUACAUUUUUUAAAGGGAAGCAUGUGCAAAGCUAUUUCUAACGGAAGCAAGGACAAUAGCCAUUUCUAUUAAACAUUUUAUACAUAGGAAACCAUGACCAUUGAAACUUUAGCAUAUAAACACACAAAAUAAAACAUUUAACUGGGAACAAAACAACAACACAACUCAUGUAAAUCCAAUUCUAGAACUAAGUCAUUAACAAAUAUCCAAGUUUAAAACUAAGCCAUUCUUUAAAUUCAAGGUCUAAAAAAGUGAGGGAAAACAAUUUCAAGUCUGUAUAGAUCUCAAAAAGGAUACAAACACA